Molecule: long non-coding RNA, 912 nt
Organism: Vigna radiata var. radiata (mung bean)
Lineage: Eukaryota; Viridiplantae; Streptophyta; Magnoliopsida; Fabales; Fabaceae
Exons: 6
Source: RefSeq, a predicted model, not a curated record
AGAGGAAAUGGGAAAUGUGUUAGGAUCGGGGGCAAGAGAGGGGUAUGAAAGCAGAAAAGGAUUUUUGUUUUGAAGACGGUUACAAGGAGAUUCAGGAAAAAAAAGGAAGGGGAACUCAUCAAUCAGGGAGAAAAAAGCUUAUCGGAGGAGGAAGAUUUUGACUACAAGGAGAUCAUCAGAAUUAGGCAAAGACGGCAUCGGAAGUGACAGGUAACAGAGGAAACCUCAGAACACUUGCCAGGGGUUUAACAGGUUUUGAGAAAGAAAAUCGUUAAUGUCCUCAGUUCAAUUUGAGGCUUUGGAGUAUCUACAUAACAAUGAAGGCCAAUCUGUGAUCCAUCGCAAUGUAAAAUCAUCAAAUGUUUUGUUAUCGGAGGAUUUUGAACCCAGCUCUCUGACUUUGGACUUGCAAAAUGGGCAUCAACUUCAUCAUCACACAUAAUCUGCAUAGAUGUUGCUGGAACCUUUGGUUACAUGGCUCCUGAGUACUUCAUGUAUGGCAAAGUAAAUGACAAGAUUGCUUGUACGUGGAGAGAGCAUCUGAGGUUCUUCCAUCAUCAGUGGCCAAGGGAAGCUUGUUUGGGCAAAGACAAUGACAGCCCGUCUUUAUCACCAAGCUAGAAGGUUACAGGAAUUCUUCUGCCUUUGAAACAUAAGUUCAGGACAUUGUAUUAUCUCUUCCCAACAGUAUAAAAAAUAUUGUGUAAUUCUCGGGGAAGAUAUCAGAGCUUGAUAAAUGGAUAAAUGUUACAUGAUGUAAUUUCCUGUAAUUGAGAACUGUUUUCGUCUUGCUAUGUAUUCUUUAGGCUUUAGGCUUUAGCUUUAAUUCUGAACUGUUUUUACAAUGCAUAAGAAUGUACAUUUACUGAACUUUGAACUCCACAAUAAAUAGUUAAUUGAAUUAAGAAUUGA